AACAUAGAGGAAGGUGGGGAUGACGUCAAAUCAUCAUGCCCCUUAUGUCUAGGGCUACACACGUGCUACAAUGGCUGGUACAACGAGCAGCAAACCCGCGAGGGGGAGCAAAACUUGAAAGCCAGUCUCAGUUCGGAUUGUAGGCUGAAACUCGCCUACAUGAAGUUGGAGUUGCUAGUAAUCGCGAAUCAGCAUGUCGCGGUGAAUACGUUCCCGGGUCUUGUACACACCGCCCGUCACACCAUGAGAGCCGGUAACACCCGAAGCCCGUGAGGUAACCGUAAGGAGCCAGCGGUCGAAGGUGGGAUUGGUGAUUGGGGUGAAGUCGUAACAAGGUAGCCGUAGGAGAACCUGCGGCUGGAUCACCUCCUUUCUAGGGA
RNAcentral lists this ribosomal RNA (380 nucleotides) under Clostridium sp. K25. RNAcentral describes it as "bacterial SSU rRNA". It matches the Rfam family "Bacterial small subunit ribosomal RNA", at positions 1160 to 1533 of the family's 1533-position model. Lineage: Bacteria; Bacillati; Bacillota; Clostridia; Eubacteriales; Clostridiaceae. The record is from RNAcentral.